GAUGAACGCUGGCGGCGUGCUUAACACAUGCAAGUCGAACGAGAAGUGAAGACGGAACCCUUCGGGCGGAAGGCUUUAUUUCGAGUGGCGGACGGGUGAGUAACGCGUGGGUAACCUGCCUCAUACAGGGGGAUAACAGUUGGAAACGACUGUUAAUACCGCAUAAGACCACAGCACCGCAUGGUGCGGGGGUAAAAACUCCGGUGGUAUGAGAUGGACCCGCGUUCGAUUAGCCAGUUGGCGGGGUAACGGCCCACCAAAGCGACGAUCGAUAGCCGAUCUGAGAGGAUGACCGGCCACAUUGGGACUGAGACACGGCCCAAACUCCUACGGGAGGCAGCAGUGGGGAAUAUUGCACAAUGGGGGAAACCCUGAUGCAGCGACGCCGCGUGAGUGAAGAAGUAUUUCGGGAUGUAAAGCUCUAUCAGCAGGGAAGAAAAUGACGGUACCUGAGUAAGAAGCCCCGGCUAACUACGUG
RNAcentral lists this ribosomal RNA (478 nucleotides) under uncultured bacterium. RNAcentral describes it as "partial 16S ribosomal RNA". It matches the Rfam family "Bacterial small subunit ribosomal RNA", at positions 28 to 507 of the family's 1533-position model. The record is from RNAcentral.